AUACGUAGGGGGCGAGCGUUGUCCGGAUUUAUUGGGCGUAAAGAGCUCGUAGGCGGCUCAGCAAGUCGGCCGUGAAAGCCUGAGGCUCAACCUCAGGACGCCGGUCGAAACUGCUGUGGCUAGGGUUCGGUAGAGGAGAGUGGAAUUCCCGGUGUAGCGGCGAAAUGCGCAGAUAUCGGGAGGAACACCAGUAGCGAAGGCGGCUCUCUGGGCCGACACCGACGCUGAGGAGCGAAAGCUAGGGGAGCAAACAGGAUUAGAUACCCCGGUAGUCC
This 275-nucleotide ribosomal RNA is filed under the name uncultured bacterium. RNAcentral's name for it is "partial 16S ribosomal RNA". It matches the Rfam family "Bacterial small subunit ribosomal RNA", at positions 523 to 796 of the family's 1533-position model. The record is from RNAcentral.